This 497-nucleotide ribosomal RNA is filed under the name uncultured bacterium. RNAcentral's name for it is "partial 16S ribosomal RNA". It matches the Rfam family "Bacterial small subunit ribosomal RNA", at positions 28 to 507 of the family's 1533-position model. The record is from RNAcentral.
GAUGAACGCUGGCGGCGUGCCUAAUACAUGCAAGUCGAGCGAACGGACGAGAAGCUUGCUUCUCUGAUGUUAGCGGCGGACGGGUGAGUAACACGUGGAUAACCUACCUAUAAGACUGGGAUAACUUCGGGAAACCGGAGCUAAUACCGGAUAAUAUUUUGAACCGCAUGGUUCAAAAGUGAAAGACGGUCUUGCUGUCACUUAUAGAUGGAUCCGCGCUGCAUUAGCUAGUUGGUAAGGUAACGGCUUACCAAGGCAACAAUGCAUAGCCGACCUGAGAGGGGGAUGGGCCACACUGGAACGGGGACACGUUCCAGACUCCUACGGGAGGCAGCAGUAGGGAAUCUUCCGCAAUGGGCGAAAGCCUGACGGAGCAACGCCGCGUGAGUGAUGAAGGUCUUCGGAUCGUAAAACUCUGUUAUUAGGGAAGAACAUAUGUGUAAGUAACUGUGCACAUCUUGACGGUACCUAAUCAGAAAGCCACGGCUAACUACGUG